AUGUUUCCGGCACUGAGGAUCACCCUGGAUGGGUUUACUACCGCUGCCCCGGCCAUGGUGGAGUAUGUUGCUUACUUGGUGGAGAAGAUGUUUCUCACUGGAGAUAAUGCUGUGGAUGCAAUUGGGUGGUCUGAAGACAGGAGAGAAGAGCUGGAGCGGCGCAAUGAACAGAGAAGAGCUAGAGGGAUGGUGGCAGUAGGAUUCAGGGGUUCAUGUUGUGAGGAGAGGAGGAGUGAAUCUUUGUUGUAG
RNAcentral lists this ribosomal RNA (249 nucleotides) under Triticum aestivum (bread wheat). RNAcentral's name for it is "partial small subunit ribosomal RNA". Lineage: Eukaryota; Viridiplantae; Streptophyta; Magnoliopsida; Poales; Poaceae. The record is from RNAcentral.